GAUUCGGUAGUCUAAAUAGGACGUGGCGUUGAAGGUGCUGAGGUAGUCUUUAGGGGCUCCGAGUUU
This 66-nucleotide transfer RNA is filed under the name Trisidos kiyonoi. RNAcentral describes it as "tRNA-Phe". The record is from RNAcentral. Lineage: Eukaryota; Metazoa; Mollusca; Bivalvia; Arcoida; Arcidae.